UUGCAACUCACAAUGUUGUGACAGUAGAAAGUCAUUUUGUAGAUAAAUAGUUAUUUGGAUACACACAAACAAAUUCUACGCCCGGGCUGGUGAUCUCUGACGAGUUCAAGCACGAAACGAAGAUGUGCAGCCCCUGCUGCGGAUCCUGCUGCGGCCCUUGCUGCAGCCCCUGCUGCAGUCCUUGCUGUUCGCCGUGCUGCAAUGACUGCUGCGGGCCCUGCUGCAGUCCCUGCUGCGGCCCUUGCUGCGGCCCCUGCUGCGGGCCCUGCUGCAGUCCUUGCUGCACUCCCUGCUGCUGCGGCCCCUGCUGCUGUCAGCCGUGCGGCAAGUGCUGCGGCCCCUGCUGCACCCCUUGCUGCGCCCCCUGCUGCACCCCUUGCUGCACCCCCUGCUGUGCUCCCUGCUGUGCUCCCUGCUGCGCCCCCUGCUGCGCCCCCUUGCUGCAGCCCCUGCCGCAAGUGAUUCUCGCGAGCGAUGCUGAUAUCGAAGGCAGGAGAGGAUCGCGAAUGUCACCUCUAGUUCGUCGAGCUCGUUGGAGAACCGUUGAAACCCAUCUUAAAUUAACAACUGAGGCAUUUAAAUACACGAAAAGUCAAGAGCAAA
Molecule: long non-coding RNA, 603 nt
Organism: Drosophila ficusphila
Lineage: Eukaryota; Metazoa; Arthropoda; Insecta; Diptera; Drosophilidae
Exons: 2
Source: RefSeq, a predicted model, not a curated record